AUACUUACCUGGCAAGGGAGACACCGUGAUCACCAAGGCGGAUCACCCAGGGCGAGGCUCGGCCAUUGCACUGCGGCUGUGCUGACCCCUGCGAAUUUCCCAAAUGUGGAAAUCUCGAUUGCAUAAUUUCUGGUAGUGGGGGACUGCGUUCGCGCUCUCCCCUG
This is a small nuclear RNA of Esox lucius (northern pike), 164 nucleotides long. Its record names the gene U1. It matches the Rfam family "U1 spliceosomal RNA". Rfam says of the family: U1 is a small nuclear RNA (snRNA) component of the spliceosome (involved in pre-mRNA splicing). Its 5' end forms complementary base pairs with the 5' splice junction, thus defining the 5' donor site of an intron. The record is from Ensembl. Lineage: Eukaryota; Metazoa; Chordata; Actinopteri; Esociformes; Esocidae.